RNAcentral lists this non-coding RNA (32 nucleotides) under Rattus norvegicus (Norway rat). Lineage: Eukaryota; Metazoa; Chordata; Mammalia; Rodentia; Muridae. The record is from RNAcentral.
UGCUUAGCAAAGUCUAGACAGUGCCUUAGCCC